Molecule: ribosomal RNA, 497 nt
Filed under: uncultured bacterium
Lineage: Bacteria
Description: partial 16S ribosomal RNA
Rfam family: Bacterial small subunit ribosomal RNA
Source: RNAcentral
GAUGAACGCUGGCGGCGUGCCUAAUACAUGCAAGUCGAGCGAACAGACGAGGAGCUUGCUCCUCUGACGUUAGCGGCGGACGGGUGAGUAACACGUGGAUAACCUACCUAUAAGACUGGGAUAACUUCGGGAAACCGGAGCUAAUACCGGAUAAUAUAUUGAACCGCAUGGUUCAAUAGUGAAAGACGGUUUUGCCGUCACUUAUAGAUGGAUCCGCGCCGCAUUAGCUAGUUGGUAAGGUAACGGCUUACCAAGGCGACGAUGCGUAGCCGACCUGAGAGGGUGAUCAGCCACACUGGAACAGAGACACGGUGCAGACGACUACGGGAGGGAGCAGUAGGGAAUGUUCCGCAAUGGGCGAAAGCCUGACGGAGCAACGUCGAGUGAGUGAUGAAGGUCUUCGGAUCGUAAAACUCUGUUAUUAGGGAAGAACAAAUGUGUAAGUAACUAUGCACGUCUUGACGGUACCUAAUCAGAAAGCCACGGCUAACUACGUG